GACGAACGCUGGCGGCGUGCUUAACACAUGCAAGUCGAACGGAAAGGCCCUGCUUUUGUGGGGUGCUCGAGUGGCGAACGGGUGAGUAACACGUGAGUAACCUGCCCUUGACUUUGGGAUAACUUCAGGAAACUGGGGCUAAUACCGGAUAGGAGCUCCUGCUGCAUGGUGGGGGUUGGAAAGUUUCGGCGGUUGGGGAUGGACUCGCGGCUUAUCAGCUUGUUGGUGGGGUAGUGGCUUACCAAGGCUUUGACGGGUAGCCGGCCUGAGAGGGUGACCGGCCACAUUGGGACUGAGAUACGGGCCAGACUCCUACGGGAGGCAGCAGUGGGGAAUAUUGCACAAUGGGCGGAAGCCUGAUGCAGCAACGCCGCGUGCGGGAUGACGGCCUUCGGGUUGUAACCCGCUUUCGCCUGUGACGAAGCGUGAGUGACGGUAAUGGGUAAAGAAGCACCGGCUAACUACGUG
RNAcentral lists this ribosomal RNA (468 nucleotides) under uncultured bacterium. RNAcentral's name for it is "partial 16S ribosomal RNA". It matches the Rfam family "Bacterial small subunit ribosomal RNA", at positions 28 to 507 of the family's 1533-position model. The record is from RNAcentral.